Molecule: ribosomal RNA, 483 nt
Filed under: uncultured bacterium
Lineage: Bacteria
Description: partial 16S ribosomal RNA
Rfam family: Bacterial small subunit ribosomal RNA
Source: RNAcentral
UUGAACGCUGGCGGCAGGCCUAACACAUGCCAGUCGAGCGGAUGAAGGGAGCCUGCUCCUGGAUUCAGCGGCGGACGGGUGAGUAAUGCCUAGGAAUCUGCCUGGUAGUGGGGGAUAACGUCCGGAAACGGGCGCUAAUACCGCAUACGUCCUGAGGGAGAAAGUGGGGGAUCUUCGGACCUCACGCUAUCAGAUGAGCCUAGGUCGGAUUAGCUAGUUGGUGGGGUAAAGGCCUACCAAGGCGACGAUCCGUAACUGGUCUGAGAGGAUGAUCAGUCACACUGGAACUGAGACACGGUCCAGACUCCUACGGGAGGCAGCAGUGGGGAAUAUUGGACAAUGGGCGAAAGCCUGAUCCAGCCAUGCCGCGUGUGUGAAGAAGGUCUUCGGAUUGUAAAGCACUUUAAGUUGGGAGGAAGGGCAGUAAGUUAAUACCUUGCUGUUUUGACGUUACCAACAGAAUAAGCACCGGCUAACUUCGUG